AUACGGAGGGGGCUAGCGUUGUUCGGAAUUACUGGGCGUAAAGCGCGCGUAGGCGGAUAGUUAAGUCGGGGGUGAAAUCCCGGGGCUCAACCCCGGAACUGCCUCCGAUACUGGCCAUCUUGAGUUCGAGAGAGGUGAGUGGAAUUCCGAGUGUAGAGGUGAAAUUCGUAGAUAUUCGGAGGAACACCAGUGGCGAAGGCGGCUCACUGGCUCGAUACUGACGCUGAGGUGCGAAAGCGUGGGGAGCAAACAGGAUUAGAAACCCCGGUAGUCC
Molecule: ribosomal RNA, 274 nt
Filed under: uncultured bacterium
Lineage: Bacteria
Description: partial 16S ribosomal RNA
Rfam family: Bacterial small subunit ribosomal RNA
Source: RNAcentral